UGAGAACUGAAUUCCAUAGGCUUUAAAAGACAAAAAAAGCCCUAUGGAUUCAGUUCUGUA
RNAcentral lists this microRNA precursor (60 nucleotides) under Alligator mississippiensis (American alligator). RNAcentral's name for it is "Ami-Mir-146-P1_pre stem-loop". It matches the Rfam family "mir-146 microRNA precursor family", at positions 16 to 75 of the family's 90-position model. Lineage: Eukaryota; Metazoa; Chordata; Crocodylia; Alligatoridae. The record is from RNAcentral.